ACGCUCGACACCUACGGAGGCAGCAGUGGGGAAUAUUGCACAAUGGGGGAAACCCUGAUGCAGCGACGCCGCGUGAGCGAAGAAGUAUUUCGGUAUGUAAAGCUCUAUCAGCAGGGAAGAAGAAAGACGGUACCUGACUAAGAAGCCCCGGCUAACUACGUGCUAGCAGCCGCGGUAAUCUGAGCGGGCUGGCAAGGC
Molecule: ribosomal RNA, 198 nt
Filed under: uncultured bacterium
Lineage: Bacteria
Description: partial 16S ribosomal RNA
Rfam family: Bacterial small subunit ribosomal RNA
Source: RNAcentral